UACGUAGGGUGCAAGCGUUGUCCGGAAUUAUUGGGCGUAAAGAGCUCGUAGGCGGUUUGUCGCGUCUGCUGUGAAAACUCGGGGCUUAACUCCGGGCCUGCAGUGGGUACGGGCAGACUAGAGUGCGGUAGGGGAGACUGGAAUUCCUGGUGUAGCGGUGAAAUGCGCAGAUAUCAGGAGGAACACCGGUGGCGAAGGCGGGUCUCUGGGCCGUAACUGACGCUGAGGAGCGGAAGCGUGGGGAGCGAACAGG
RNAcentral lists this ribosomal RNA (253 nucleotides) under uncultured bacterium. Its description in RNAcentral is "partial 16S ribosomal RNA". It matches the Rfam family "Bacterial small subunit ribosomal RNA", at positions 524 to 776 of the family's 1533-position model. The record is from RNAcentral.